GUCAGUGUGGGAUAGUAGUUUGAGCGUUGGACCAGGACACUAGAAACCAGGGUUCGAAUCCCUGCUCAGCCA
Non-coding RNA from Phrynosoma platyrhinos (Desert horned lizard), 72 nucleotides. NCBI's taxonomy places the organism in Eukaryota, Metazoa, Chordata, Lepidosauria, Squamata, Phrynosomatidae. The record is from the annotation of a GenBank genome assembly.